Molecule: ribosomal RNA, 652 nt
Filed under: Coptotermes curvignathus
Lineage: Eukaryota; Metazoa; Arthropoda; Insecta; Blattodea; Rhinotermitidae
Description: partial large subunit ribosomal RNA
Rfam family: Archaeal large subunit ribosomal RNA (bases 236-397)
Source: RNAcentral
AUUUUAUUUUUAUAAUUUUUGUGUGUAUUUAGUUUUGUGGAUUUUAUAGUGAUUUUCAAUUUGAUUAUGUUAAAAUUUUAUUUGUUUCUUUUGUUAUUUUGGUUUAUUUAAUUGUUUAUAUUGGAAUGUUUCCUUUAUUUUUUGUUGGUUUGUAAUUAUUGUGGAAUUAGUAAAUUUGUUUGUUUGUAUUGUUUAUAUUUUUGUAUAAUUUCUUUUGAGGAAUUAGGCAAAUUUUGUGUCCGCCUGUUUAACAAAAACAUCUUUUCUUGUUAGUUUUUGAAGUAUGGCCUGCCCGCUGACAUUGAGUGUUGAAGGGCCGCGGUAUUUUGACCGUGCAAAGGUAGCAUAAUCAUUAGUUCUUUAAUUGUGAUCUGGAAUGAAUGGCUUGACGAGGCACGGGCUGUCUUAGUGUUGAAUGUUUUAUUGAAUUUGGUCUUUGAGUUAAAAUUCUUAAAUGUUUUUGUGGGACGAGAAGACCCUAUAGAGUUUGACAUUUGGUUUAUUUCCUGUUUGGUUGUUUGUUUGUUUUGUUGGUGAGUGGGCUUUUUGUUUUGUUGGGGUGAUGAGAGGAAUAUGUUUAACUCCUCUUGGUUUUGGUUAUAUUGAUUUAUAGUUGUUUGAUCCAUUUAUUUUGAUUAUAAGACUAAAUUAC